RNAcentral lists this ribosomal RNA (481 nucleotides) under Copelatus sp. 026VA577. Its description in RNAcentral is "partial 16S ribosomal RNA". The stretch from base 359 to 481 matches the Rfam family "Bacterial large subunit ribosomal RNA", at positions 2473 to 2596 of the family's 2925-position model. Lineage: Eukaryota; Metazoa; Arthropoda; Insecta; Coleoptera; Dytiscidae. The record is from RNAcentral.
ACCUGCCCACUGAUUAAUUUAAUGGCCGCAGUAAUUUGACUGUGCAAAGGUAGCAUAAUCAUUAGUUUUUUAAUUGAAAGCUUGUAUGAAUGGUUGGACGAGAUAAAAUCUGUCUCUAUUUAAAUUAUUUUAGAAUUUUAUUUUUAAGUUAAAAGCUUAAAUAUAUGUAAAAGACGAGAAGACCCUAUAGAUCUUUAUAUUUUUUUAUAUAAUUUUAUUAAAGAAUUUUACAAUUUUUAUAUAUAUAAAUAUUUUAUUGGGGUAAUAAAAAGAUUUAUUAAAUUCUUUUUUUUAUUUAAUAUAGAUUAAUAGAUAUUUGAUCCAAUAUAUUUUGAUUAUAAGAUUAAGUUACCUUAGGGAUAACAGCGUAAUUUUUUUUGAGAGUUCAUAUCGAUAAAAAAGUUUGCGACCUCGAUGUUGGAUUAAAAAUUAUUUUAGGUGUAGAAGUCUAAAAAUUUGGUCUGUUCGACCAUUAAAUUUU